UACAUAGGGGGCAAGCGUUGUCCGGAAUGACUGGGUGUAAAGGGUGUGUAGGUGGCUUUUUAAGUUAAAAGUGAAAGCCCGGGGCUCAACUCCGGAACUGCUUUUAAUACUGGAUGGCUUGAGUGUGGGAGAGGUUAGUGGAACUCCUAGUGUAGCGGUGGAAUGCGUAGAUAUUAGGAAGAACAUCAGAGGCGAAGGCGACUAACUGGAACAUUACUGACACUGAAACACGAAAGCGUGGGGAGCAAAC
RNAcentral lists this ribosomal RNA (250 nucleotides) under uncultured prokaryote. RNAcentral's name for it is "partial 16S ribosomal RNA". It matches the Rfam family "Bacterial small subunit ribosomal RNA", at positions 524 to 773 of the family's 1533-position model. The record is from RNAcentral.